UACAGAGGGUGCGAGCGUUAAUCGGAAUUACUGGGCGUAAAGCGCACGUAGGCGGCUUGGUAUGUCGGGUGUAAAAUCCCCGGGCUCAACCUGGGAACUGCAUCCGAAACUGCCUUGCUAGAGUAUGGGAGAGGGAAGUGGAAUUUCCGGUGUAGCGGUGAAAUGCGUAGAUAUCGGAAGGAACAUCAGUGGCGAAGGCGACUUCCUGGACCAAUACUGACGCUCAGGUGCGAAAGCGUGGGGAGCAAACAGG
This 253-nucleotide ribosomal RNA is filed under the name uncultured bacterium. RNAcentral describes it as "partial 16S ribosomal RNA". It matches the Rfam family "Bacterial small subunit ribosomal RNA", at positions 524 to 776 of the family's 1533-position model. The record is from RNAcentral.